This 223-nucleotide long non-coding RNA is filed under the name Solanum tuberosum (potato). RNAcentral's name for it is "long non-coding RNA (STUB_LNC009857)". Lineage: Eukaryota; Viridiplantae; Streptophyta; Magnoliopsida; Solanales; Solanaceae. The record is from RNAcentral.
UUGGAUAUAUUAAGGUGUAAGACUGAUUUUAGAUCAGUUUUUCCCUUUUUAAAAGAGUGAGAGUGAGGGUUUGUGAGUAAAGAGGAGAAGAAGGGGAGAAAGAGAAGAUCAAGCAAGGUUUCGUCAAAGAUCGUCGUGGAUAUCGUCGGGGGUGAUCCCUACUAGGUAUGUGAGUUCAUAGUGUUGGGUUGGUUAUUUCCCCCACAUGCCAAACUCGUUUAAU